Molecule: RNA transcript, 1334 nt
Organism: Labeo rohita (rohu)
Lineage: Eukaryota; Metazoa; Chordata; Actinopteri; Cypriniformes; Cyprinidae
Gene name: stonustoxin subunit beta
Exons: 7
Source: RefSeq, a predicted model, not a curated record
UCUGGCUGUAUGGUGACAGAGAAAGGCUGUCAUUAUGUGUCUUCAGCUCUGAGUUCAAACCCCUCACACCUGAGAGAGCUGGAUCUGAGCUACAAUCACCCAGGAUAUUCAGGAGUCAAGCUGCUUUCUAAAAAACAUAAGGAUCCAAACUGCAAACUGAACAAACUCAGUGUGGAUCAUGGAGGAGAAUCCAGGAUUACAGCAGGACUGAAGAAAUAUGCCUGUUUUCUCACACUGGAUCCAAACACAGCAAACAAUCAUCUCAUUCUGUCUGAGGAGAACAGAAACGUGACAAAUGGCUCAAAGGACAAAAUAUCUCUUGAAAAAGAUAGGGAACUGCUUGUUGAAGAAAUACGAAAACGAGCACCAAACAAGACCCUGGUUGCCCACAAGAUGGACCAAACAUUUCCCUUAUGAAGAAAAGAAAUAGUGGAAACAGAGCCACUGAUCAGAACAAUGUUGGAACGCUGGCCAGCACUAUUUACAGAGCGUGAGGUCUUUGCAGAAUUCACCAGGAUAACCUGCAAGAACCUUCAGAAUGAAUUCUUUGGUGAACCAGACAAACAUACACCCUGUCUAAUGAAGAUUUUCAAGUCUAAAACUGGGACCUUGGGUCAGACUUUGGCAGAAUUACUAGAGCAAGUUCAGACAAGAAGAAACACCAAUCAAGCAUCAUGCCAGGAAAAUGAGGUUACGCUUCGGCGCACUGCGGUUCUCCGUGGCAUCCCUGUCCUUUUUGGGGACGACCCCUCACAAUUUUUCAAAGUCUGCUUUGACUCAGAUGAAAACAACUUUGAGCACAUUCCUGUUGGCUUUCUGACAGUCCACAAUGAAGAUUCUCCUCACAGCCCUUCAUCACUUCCUGAGAUCUGACCUGCAGUUCACGUGAUCACUACUGAGAUGACAUGAUUCAAAACGUGAUGUCAUAAGAAAAACAUGCUUGUUCAAUUCACUUUCUUGAACAGAUUCAGUUCUGUUUAUUAAGUUGUCUUGAGAAAGCCAACUUACUGAAAUCCGACUUAAACGUACAGUUAUUAUUAUUCUUCUGAGACUAACUCUAACUCCUCCUAGAGCUUUAACUCUACAAACUCCAAACUCAGCCCAGAUCUUCAAACUGAUCUGACUCGAGUUGCUAUAUCUUUUCUAACUGAUCGGACUUACGUUUUUUCUAAAAAUGACGAUUAAAAUGGGGGAAAAUCCCAUAGACUUACAUUGACGGAAUGUUCAAAUGAGCCAACACUUUUUAAAUUUCAACUGUCAAAACUCCCAGAAUCCUUUGAGACUCAAUCAAGCUUCCCUUCUAUGUACUGUAUUUCUAAUCAAAUUAAACUUAU